RNAcentral lists this ribosomal RNA (263 nucleotides) under uncultured bacterium. RNAcentral describes it as "partial 16S ribosomal RNA". It matches the Rfam family "Bacterial small subunit ribosomal RNA", at positions 793 to 1055 of the family's 1533-position model. The record is from RNAcentral.
GUCCACGCCUUAAACGAUGGAUGUUCGGUGUCAGCCCGUAAGGGUUGGCGCCUGAGCUAACGCGUUAAACAUCCCACCUGGGGAGUACGAUCGCAAGGUUGAAACUCAAAGGAAUUGACGGGGCCCGCACAAGCAGUGGAGCAUGUGGUUCAAUUCGAUGCAACGCGAAGAACCUUACCUGGGUUUGAAAAGCUCUGUAAAACCGGUGAAAAGCCGGCUAGUGUAGCAAUACACGCGGAGUACAGGUGCUGCAUGGCUGUCGU